AAUUGGUUUCAUAUAUGAAAUCAACAAGAUCUGCAAGCUUAUUUCACUUUCAAAAGUCAGUGUUCCUAUGUUUCUGCAUUUAUGCAGUGGUCGGACCGCAUAAUGUCUGAAUCCUGCGUCUCGUUUUAGAAGUGUGAGAAGACAGACGAGAAGAUCCAAGCCACUUCCUACGUGACUAGGUUAAAACACAACAGGAUUGCUCACAAUGUCAAUUACGUUGAAUAUUAUGGCACGCCAAGCGCCCUUUCGGGUGCUGCUGAUGCCACAGCGUACGCUAACUGUUCUUCCAAUGACAAAAAAUGGAUGAGCCAGAGCAACCAGAAAAAUAAUCAAAAUUAAUCGCAGCAUCAGAGCCAUCCGCGUGGCAAUGCUUCCAUACACCAGGAUAUGUCAAGCAAGGAAGAGGUAAAGCAAAAUAUGCGAAUGCUUGACGAAGCACGCUGCGGAAACUGAGGUUUCUUGACGUGCGCCAUCAGUAAAAGUUGUAAAAACAACAAACUUUUCGUAACCGGAAGAAACUAAAAUUUGCUGUAUUAUAAUCAUAAAUCGAGAAGAAAAGCUUGAGAGCUGGUUGAACGGAGGAAGCGGAAGCAACGGUGCCAUUGAGACCAUGGAAAUAAUAAACGAGGGAGUACUUGCAGACAACUGACGAACGAGAUGGACUCAGGAAGAUGAUAAACAAAUUGAUAAACAGGCGAGAGAGUUCUUACUUACUCAGUUAGAUAAGUUACAUUAAGAAAUAAAGAGUAAGGAAGGUUUAAGUUUGGUUGUAAUCGAACAUUUAAUACUCUUGCAACUUGCGGUAUUGAUGCCGGCUUGUUAGAGUAACGAAAAUCAUUACUGUAGUAUAAUUUAAUUUCAGAUAUUUUCGACAUUAAACCACACUCAUGGCCACGCAAACCUUACCACUCAAAAUUUUCAAGUAUUGUGCAUAUUUGACUACAUUUUAUAGCGG
Bactrocera tryoni is the source of this 955-nucleotide long non-coding RNA. RefSeq lists it as uncharacterized. Lineage: Eukaryota; Metazoa; Arthropoda; Insecta; Diptera; Tephritidae. The record is from RefSeq and is a predicted model, not a curated record. The transcript is spliced from 3 exons.